UUGACGGGGACCCGCACAAGCGGUGGAUGAUGUGAUUAUUCGAUGCAACGCGUAAAACCUUACCUACCCUUGACAUGUCCGGAAUCCCGAAGAGAUUUGGGAGUGCUCGCAAGAGAACCGGAACACAGGUGCUGCAUGGCUGUCGUCAGCUCGUGUCGUGAGAUGUUGGGUUAAGUCCCGCAACGAGCGCAACCCUUGUCAUUAGUUGCCAUCAUUUGGUUGGGCACUCUAAUGAGACUGCCGGUGACAAACCGGAGGAAGGUGGGGAUGACGUCAAGUCCUCAUGGCCCUUAUGGGUAGGGCUUCACACGUCAUACAAUGGUCGGUACAGAGGGUUGCCAACCCGCGAGGGGGAGCUAAUCCCACAAAGCCGAUCGUAGUCCGGGUCGCAGUCUGCAACUCGACUGCGUGAAGUCGGAAUCGCUAGUAAUCGUGGAUCAGCAUGCUGCGGUGAAUACGUUCCCGGGUCUU
This 471-nucleotide ribosomal RNA is filed under the name uncultured Rhodocyclaceae bacterium. RNAcentral describes it as "bacterial SSU rRNA". It matches the Rfam family "Bacterial small subunit ribosomal RNA", at positions 910 to 1382 of the family's 1533-position model. The record is from RNAcentral. Lineage: Bacteria; Pseudomonadati; Pseudomonadota; Betaproteobacteria; Rhodocyclales; Rhodocyclaceae.